GCCGGCUUAGCUCAAUCGGUAGAGCAGCUGACUUGUAAUCAGCAGGUUGAGGGUUCAAUUCCUUUAGCCGGCU
This 73-nucleotide transfer RNA is filed under the name Spirochaetales bacterium. RNAcentral's name for it is "tRNA-Thr". It matches the Rfam family "tRNA". From Rfam's summary of the family: Transfer RNA (tRNA) molecules are approximately 80 nucleotides in length. Their secondary structure includes four short double-helical elements and three loops (D, anti-codon, and T loops). Lineage: Bacteria; Pseudomonadati; Spirochaetota; Spirochaetia; Spirochaetales. The record is from RNAcentral. RNAcentral also lists the same sequence under 1 other name.